CCUUGGCUCAGCACCAGUGUGUGAGAGCCAGAGCCUGCUCAUCUUUUCUCCCGACUUCCCUCCUUCUAUUAAUGGUGUCAUCCCUCCUUCUGGAAACCAGGCACAAAUUCCCAGUCAUCUUUGACAUCCUGUCUCCUUUUACUCCCACAUCUCCUUGGUUGUGAAAUCCCACCAAGUCCUUCCCUCAGCACCCCCACUUCCCUUCUUAGCCACGCUGGCCUCUCCCCUCUCAUACUGACCUCUGCAGAUAUCUCUCCAUAAUCUCUGCCCCCUGUCUGCACUCCGCCACCUCAUAUCCCCACCAUACAGGCUAAUAUUGGAGUACAAUACAGGAGUAAUAUUGCUAAGGAAUAAUCUCCAUCUUACUGCCUCACUUAAAAACCUUCCAUUAUAUUCAACAGUUAUUGAGUGUCUAUUGCAUGUGUAUUAUUUAUGAUUCUUUGCAUGCAACCUACUGAAACCAACUUGUGCCAGUUUAAACUGAAAAGGGGUGUAGAUUACACAGAUUCAGGGAGAAUGCAGCCAAGCCUCAGAACUGGAAAACUCUCAGGACUCCAUGGCGUGCUCUCUCUCCAUCCCCUCUCUGCUUUUCUUGGCAUCUACUGCCUCCUCCCUGGCUGCAGAGCCCAGCUUUCUCUGAUACCCCGUCUCUUGCAGGAGAUCCCUGUCUCAAAUGAGCCAAGGUUUAUUUUCAUCCCUGCCACUCAAAAGACCACUCCCAAUAGGAAUGGAGUCUUUCAGUCCCCGUUUUAAAUUUGCAGGUGUGCUGCUCCAGAAUCUUCUGCUUGCAAAUGAUGAAAACCCAACAUAACUAUCUUGGACAAAACUAUAAUUUAUACACUCUUAUAAACAAGAGCAGGGCUGGGACUAGGCCUCCUUGACAGAGAGUGACAGGGACUGGAUAUCAUGCAUCUCCCCAUUUCUCUUUUCUUUUCUGUUUUUUUUGAGAGAAGGAAAUAAAAAAGAGUGAAGGAGAGGAAGAAAGAAGAAGAAAAAGAAGGAGAGAGAAUGAAAAUGUUGCUUUAUUCUAAAAAAUGGGUAUUAAUAAUGGCCAAUCAAUAUUUCAUUUAAACCUAUGAGUAGGUGUGAUGUGGUAUUGACAAGAAUGUAUAUUUUGUGUAUUUAAAGUGGGGAGCUCUAUAAAUAUUUAUUAAGUUUACUUGUUCCAGAUCUGAGUUCGAGUCCUGGAUAUCCUUAUUAAUUUUGUGUCUCAUGGAGUCUACGUCUCUAUGUAUCUGGGUGUUAGGAUCGUUAGCUCUUAUUGUUGCAUUGAUCCUUUUACCACUAUAUCUUUGUUGCUUUAAAAUCUAUUUUAUCAGAUGCAAGAAUUGCAACUCCUGCUUUUUAUUUAUUUAUUUAUUUUUGCUCUCCAUUUGGUUGGUAAAUCUUUCUCCAUCCCUUUGUUUUGAGUCUUUGUGUAUCCUUACAUGUGAAAUGGGUCUGGAUGUAAGCAUACAGUUGAGUUUUGGCUGUAUCUUUUGAUUGGGGGAUUUAGUCGCUUUAAAUUUAGGAUUACUGCCAUUUGAUGUUAACUGGCUGUUGUAUCCAUUCAUUGAUGUAAAUUCUUCUUUAUGUUGAUGCUCUUUACUUUUUGGUAUAUUUUUAGAAAGGCUAAUACUGGUUGUUUCUUUCUAUGUGUAAUGCUUCUUUCAGAAGCUCUUGUAAAGCAGGCCUGGUGGUAAUAAAAUCUCUGAAUACUUGCUUGUUCAUAAAAGAUUUUAUUUUUCCUUCAGUUGUGAAGGUUAGUUUGGCUAGAUAUGAAAUUCUGGGCUGAAAGUUCUGUUCUUUAAGGAUGUUGAAUAUUGGCCCCCACUCUCUUCUGGCUUGUAGAGUUUCUGCUGAGAGAUCUGCUGUAAGUCUGAUAGGCUUCCCUUUGUGGGUAACCUGACCUUUCUCUCUGGCUGCCCUUAGUAUUUUCUCCUUCGUUUCAACCCUGGUGAAUCUAACGAUUAUGUGCCUUGGGGUUGCUCUUCUUGAGGAAUAUCUUUGUGGUGUUCUCUGUAUUACCUGGGGUUGAAUAUUGUCCUGCUUUGCUAGGUUAGGAAAAUUUUCCUGAAUAAUAUCCUGUAGAAUAUUUUUCAGCUUGGAUUCAUUCUCUCCGUCACAUUCAGGUACACCUAUGAAACGUAAAUUUGGUCUUUUCACAUAGUCCCAUAUUUCUUGGAGACUUUGCUCAUUCCUUUUUAUCCUUUUUUCUCUAAUCUUGUCUUCCUGUUUUAUUUCAUUAAGUUGGUCUUUGACCGCUGAUAUCCUUUCUUCUGCUUGAUCAAUUCGAGUGUUUAAACCUGUGCAUACUUCUCAGAAUUCCCCUAUUGUAUUCUUCAGUUCCAUUAAUUCACUUAUAUUCCUCUCUAAAUUGUCUAUUCUCAUUAGGAUUUCGUCAAACCUUUUUUCAAAGUUCUUAGUUUCUUUACAUUGGGCUACAACAUGUUCUUUUAACUCACAGAAGUUUCUUAUUAUCCAUCUUUGGAAGCCUAAUUCUGUUAAUGGGAUGCGCUCAUUCUCCAUCAAGCCUUGUUCCCUUGUUGAUGAGGAACUGUGAUCCUCUUUAGAGGGAGAGGCAUUCUGAUUUUGAGUAUUCUCAGCCUUUUUACGCUGGUUUCUUCCCAUCAUUGUAAAUUUAUCCACCUGUCAUCUUUAUAAUUACUUUCAAAUUAGGUCUCUGAGUGGAAGUCCAAGUUGUUAAUUCCCAGGGCCGAAAUAUGAGCAACCCACUGCGCCGGCCAAAACAGUGGUGUUAAGACUGAUGGUGCUUUUCUGCCCAGGAAUCUCCAGUCUGGUUUCCUUCUUGAGUCCGUAAUAGGCAACUCUGCCUUCUCAGAGCUCCAAACGUCGGUCAGAAGGGGAACCAGUCCCGUUUACUCUGCACCAAGAGCUGCCACGCCGAGGUGCCGGCAAAACUGCUGCGCCAGCCACAAGAGUCGCGCUGACGACCCGUGGGACUCCUCCACUGGGAAUCUUCUGCCCCGUGAGUGACAAAAAUUUGUCUGAAAGUGUGGCGUCCUCUCAUUCUCUGCGCUUUCACUGGGAGCUGCAAUCCCGAGAUGUUAGCGAUCAGCCAUCUUGGAUCAUUCUUCCAUUUCUCUUUUCUGACUGUGAGCAUCCCUUCUUUGAUACAGACCUGCCCUUUACACAUGUUGAAGGCCAGGGUCAUGACCCCUUGAUGACAACUGAUAAAUCUUACCACCUAAGGAGCUUGACUCUUCUUUCCCAAAUUCCAAUUUUUAAAAAUGACCCUUAGAACUCUACUUGAUCCUGCUUAGGACAUGUUCCUACCCCUCAUAGACUCUGAAGUCAGACUGCCUGGGUUUAAAUCCUGGUUCUGUUACUGAUUAGCUCUGUGACUCUUGGCACUUAAACCUCUCUAUAUCUCAGUGUUCUCAUCUGUUAAGUAGGGAUAGCAAUAGGACCCAUCUCAUAGAUUGUUAUAAAGAUUAAAUUUAGACUGCUUAGAAUAGUAUCCAGCACUAAGUCAGGCUUUGUAUGGGUUAGUUAUGAUGAUAAUGAUGUUGAUGAUGAUGGCAAUGAUGAGUGGUGGUGAUGAUGAUGAUGAUGAUGAUGAUGACAAUGACAAUGACCAUGGGGGAAGAGGAGAGGAGCAACUUCUUGAACCACAUGCUUGAGGGGAGAAGAGAAGCUCACCAAAAGGGGGGUGUAUUAGUGUCCUAGGACUACUGUAAAAAGUGCCACAAACUGGGUGGCUGAGAACAGACAUUUAGUGUCUCAGUUCUGGAGGCCAGAAGUCUGAAAUCAAGGUAUCAGCAGCAUUGGCUCCUUCUGGAGACUGUGAGGAAACAUCUUUUCCCUGCCUUUCUCCUAGUGUCUGGUAGCCUCAGGGUUCUUUGGUUUGUAGAUGGUGUUUCCCCUGUCUCUUCUUAUCAUCUUCUCUUUGUACAAGUCUGUGUCUAGAUUUCCCCUUUUAAUAAAGGACACUGGUCAUGUUGGAUUAGGGCCCACCCUAAUGACCUCAUCUUAACUGAAUCAUCAUUUCCAGAGACUCCAUUUCCAAAUAAGGUCACAGUCAUGUGCCAGGAUGAGGACUUCAACAUUAUCUGGUGGAAGGGGAACACAGUUCAACCCACAAUGAGGGGGAUGGGGCAAUGCUGGCCAGACUGGUAGCAGCUGUUCCCUCUGCUUAUGAUUCCCAGGACUGAAUAUACUGAUCAGAUCAGGUUGGAUCAGUUGCUCAGCCCUAGCCCUAUCAACAAUAGCUUGGGAAGUGGGGUUGAAGGUGCAUUGCACAAAUUGCUGGGGACAGUGGUAUGUCUCAGAGAAAGCACUGGGAUGUUCACCCGCUGGACAAUCAUCUCAGGUGCUGUCCUCUCCAAUGUGCAAAGUGCCCAUCACUCAGUGGGAGGUACCUGGAGAUGAGCAAGAAGACGUUUAUGCAGCAGUGAUGGACAAAGUCUCCUAUGGAAGAAUGAACAACGGAGCAGGUGCCACAGAAUAAGUGCUCCAGUGGAAACACAAAGCACUAUGGGAGCACGAGAGAGCGUGAAGUUCCACAUUGGUUGGUAACAAGAAGCCACUGAGGAAUUGCAGGCAGAGGAGGACCUGAUUGGGCCUUUAUUUCAGGAUGACAGCUUGGUGCCAGUGUGGAGGAUGCUGUGAAGCAGGGAGAGAUUCCAAGGGAGUGAACACCUGUCUUCUACCCCACUGGGAGGCAAAAGCAUUAACCAGUCAUCCUUCUAUAUAAGACAGCACCAGGAGCCUCGGGGACCAUUUGCUCAGUCGUUCUUUUUAAUUUAAUUUUUAUUGAAGCAUAACCUACAUACAAAAAAGUGCACAAAUUAGAUGUUUCUAUGCCACCUGGAGGCACAGUGCUGUGGGGGACACAGAGGCAAGGAAGAUGCACCCUCCUACCCCCGCCCAACAAGCACUGGAGAUUUAGUGGAGAGCAGUGGAGAGGUGUGCAGUGUGGACGCCAGGAGUCCUUGGGGCCCGUGGGAGCUGGAUGUAGCAGGCAUUUCCGGCCUCAGGAUGGGAGGAGCUGUGAGAGACUUGUUGGCACCCAUGGGCUAAGGUCUCCGGGGGCACAGGAAACAGAGGAAGAAACACCGGGGCUAAGGACAUCACUCACUGUCUCUGUUGACCUCCGCAGUCUCCCGGACUGCCUCCCAACCCAUGUAGGGAUGCUUGACCAGGUCUUGAAAUAGAAUCAUCUGGAAAACUUCUGCCAUCUCAGAGCGAGACCAUGCCCCAGGCCAAUUAAACUAGAAUCUCUAGGGUCUAGCCCUGGAUAGCAGCAGUUUGAAAUAUUUCAGGUGAUUCUGUUGCACAGUCACAAGAGCUACAGUGCCUGAGCCUGGAAAUGAGAACAUCACGGCAGGCCGGAGGGCCUUUGCUUUCUUCCUUUUUCAACUAUGAGAGCGAGAUGCUUAUCCUACAGCACAAGCACCAGAAUGCAUUUAACCAUCAUGCGUCCACGAUGUGUACAUGAAGUGGUUCUUAUUUUAUUCCUUGACAAGUUUUUAUUUGGUUGCUCUUUUGACUCUUAUUCAAAAUUGUUUAUGUAAAUUAGUAAGAAGCUUUUAGCAGACAAUUUGGCAACAUGUAUCAAGAGAAUAAAACUGUUCAGAAUCAUUGGCCUAUUUAUUCCACUUUUGGAAGCUAUCCUACAGAAAUAACAUGAAUAUAGGGGGAAGCUAUAUGCGUUAGAUGUUCAUUGCAGCAUUAUUUAUGCUAACGAAAAGCUGGCAAAACCUAAAUGUCCAAUGAUACAGGAAUGUAUAAGUGAACUGUGGUACAUCUAUUUGGUAGAAUAUUAAGUAAUCGUUAAAAUUAUGGUUAUGAAGCCAAAGUAAUAACAUGGAAAAUGCUUAUGCCAUAAAGUUAAAUAAAAACGUAGAACACAAAAUUGUGCAGAUAUGCUAUAAUCACAACUACAUGCAGAGGAAACGAAAUAUAAAGGAAGUAGAAAGUAAAAAACAAAAUGCUAACAUAGAUUGUGUUAGAAUGAUAAGACUAAUUCUUUUUCCUACUUUCCAGAUUUUUAUAACAUGAUUACAUUAUUGCUUAGCUGGAAACAAACCAUAAAAACAAAAAAUGUCUGCCUUGUGCAUUUUUUCAUAUGUCUGUCAGACUGGAGACACCCUAAUGUUAAGAUCCCUACAAACAAUGUUAAGGCCACCAUGCCACACGUAGCACCUGAGGCUGCCUGCAAAAGGCCUGACAACAAUAGAUCAGAAGUCAGAGGGUCUGGCUUUUAACCCCAGCUUCAGCUUCACAGUGUGACCUUGAGCAAGUUUUUCCUUCUUUCUGAACCUCAGUUUCCUAAUCUGUGAAACAAUAGAUUGGACCAGGAGGGUCCUCAAGAACCUGCCGGCUCUGAAAUGUGAUGAUCAUGACAUGGAUGAUGAUGAAUAUACUAUUGAAUCCCAGUUGCGUUCAGAUCCAUCGAAUGGGAGACUAAGAGGCAGAAAAGUAUCUCCCC
This is a long non-coding RNA of Callithrix jacchus (white-tufted-ear marmoset), 6433 nucleotides long. RefSeq lists it as uncharacterized. The record is from RefSeq and is a predicted model, not a curated record. Lineage: Eukaryota; Metazoa; Chordata; Mammalia; Primates; Cebidae.